AAACAUUUUUUACCCCAACUUUUGAGGUCAAACUUCUCAUAUUUAUGUUGAUGUUUCACAUUUUUAUUAGACUUUUAUUUGAUGCUUUGACCUCUCUUUUAUGUGGUUCCUUUUAUUGUAUUUAUUUAAUCAAUAUUAAAUCAUUUUAAUUCAUUUUAUUUUGAUUUUUGUUGGAUACUUGUUAUUUUGAGUUGACUUGAUUGCUUGGUUGAUGUGUUCUUCCUCAUCUAAAAUCAUUGAUAGAUGGACUUGAGGUUGAUCAACC
RNAcentral lists this long non-coding RNA (265 nucleotides) under Lathyrus oleraceus (garden pea). RNAcentral's name for it is "Pisum sativum (pea) long non-coding RNA (PSAT_LNC028965)". Lineage: Eukaryota; Viridiplantae; Streptophyta; Magnoliopsida; Fabales; Fabaceae. The record is from RNAcentral.